UACGUAGGCGGUUUUGCAAGUCAGAAGUGAAAGCCCAGGGCUUAACCUUGGAACUGCUUUUGAAACUGCAAAACUAGAGUCCCGGAGAGGUUGGCGGAAUUCCGAGUGUAGAGGUGAAAUUCGCAGAUAUUCGGAGGAACACCAGUGGCGUAAGCGGCCAACUGGACGGGAACUGACGCUGAGGUACGAAAGCGUGGGGAGCAAACA
This 207-nucleotide ribosomal RNA is filed under the name uncultured bacterium. RNAcentral describes it as "partial 16S ribosomal RNA". It matches the Rfam family "Bacterial small subunit ribosomal RNA", at positions 568 to 774 of the family's 1533-position model. The record is from RNAcentral.